RNAcentral lists this ribosomal RNA (771 nucleotides) under uncultured bacterium. RNAcentral describes it as "bacterial SSU rRNA". It matches the Rfam family "Bacterial small subunit ribosomal RNA", at positions 8 to 796 of the family's 1533-position model. The record is from RNAcentral.
AGAGUUUGAUCCUGGCUCAGGACGAACGCUGGCGGCGUGCUUAACACAUGCAAGUCGAACGGAAAGGCCCUUCGGGGUACUCGAGUGGCGAACGGGUGAGUAACACGUGGGUGAUCUGCCCUGCACUUUGGGAUAAGCCUGGGAAACUGGGUCUAAUACCGAAUAUGACCAUGCACUUCCUGGUGUGUGGUGGAAAGCUUUUGCGGUGUGGGAUGGGCCCGCGGCCUAUCAGCUUGUUGGUGGGGUAAUGGCCUACCAAGGCGACGACGGGUAGCCGGCCUGAGAGGGUGACCGGCCACACUGGGACUGAGAUACGGCCCAGACUCCUACGGGAGGCAGCAGUGGGGAAUAUUGUACAAUGGGCGUAAGCCUGAUGCAGCGACGCCGCGUGAGGGAUGACGGCCUUCGGGUUGUAAACCUCUUUCAGCACAGACGAAGCGCAAGUGACGGUAUGUGCAGAAGAAGGACCGGCCAACUACGUGCCAGCAGCCGCGGUAAUACGUAGGGUCCGAGCGUUGUCCGGAAUUACUGGGCGUAAAGAGCUCGUAGGUGGUUUGUCGCGUUGUUCGUGAAAACUCACAGCUUAACUGUGGGCGUGCGGGCGAUACGGGCAGACUUGAGUACUGCAGGGGAGACUGGAAUUCCUGGUGUAGCGGUGGAAUGCGCAGAUAUCAGGAGGAACACCGGUGGCGAAGGCGGGUCUCUGGGCAGUAACUGACGCUGAGGAGCGAAAGCGUGGGGAGCGAACAGGAUUAGAUACCCUGGUAGUCC